This 953-nucleotide ribosomal RNA is filed under the name uncultured archaeon. Its description in RNAcentral is "SSU rRNA". It matches the Rfam family "Archaeal small subunit ribosomal RNA", at positions 473 to 1337 of the family's 1478-position model. The record is from RNAcentral.
CACCUGGCGCCACAAGUGGCAACCACAUUUAUUGGGCCUAAAGCGUCCGUAGCCUGUUUAAUGAAUCUUUUGUGAAAUUGUUGGGCUUAACUUAACAGCGCGCAAAAGACACUAUUAAACUUGGGACCGGAGAGGGGUUAGAGGUAUUUUUGGGGGAGCGGUAAAAUGCUAUAAUCCCAGAAGGACCGCCAGUGGCGGAGGCGUCUAACCAGAACGGAUCCGACGGUGAGGGACGAAAGCCAGGGGAGCAAUCCGGAUUAGAUAUCGAGACUUCCGUCUCAGAAAUCAUUCUCGUUUGUUGCUAUAAUAUUACUGAACGAGGGAUGUUAUCGGAGGUAUUCACUCGACUAAUUACCCGAGUAGUCCUGGCCGUAAACGCUGCGAGCUAGGUGUCGCGUAUCUCUGAAGAUGCGCGGUGUCGAAGCGAAGGUGUUAAGCUCGCCGCCUGGGAAGUAUGGUCGCAAGACUGAAACUUAAAGGAAUUGGCGGGGGCACACCACAAGGGGUGCGGCGUGCGGUUUAAUCUAAUUCAACACAGAGAAUCUCACCAGAGGCGACGGCAGAAUGAAAGUCAGGCUGAAGACCUUACUUGACGAGCCGAGAGGUAGUGCAUGGCCGCCGUCAGCUCGUGCCGCAAGGUGUCCAGUUAAGUCUGGCAACGAGCGAGACCUGUGUUUACAAUUGCUAGCAUUUUCUUUAGAAGGUGCGCACAUUGUAAAGACUGCCAUGGAAACGUGGAGGAAGGCGCAGGCAACGGUAGGUCAGUAUGCUCCGAAUCCUCUGGGCUACACGCGCGCAACAAUGGUAAGGACAAUGGGAUACGACUCCGAAAGGAGAAGUUAAGCCUCGAAACCUUACCUUAGUUCAGAUUGAGGAUUGAAACUCAUCCUCAUGACGCUGGAAUCCCUAGUAAUUGGACGUCAUCAGCGUCCAGUGAAUAUGUCCCUGUGCCU